UACAGAGGGGGCAAGCGUUGUUCGGAAUUACUGGGCGUAAAGGGCGCGUAGGCGGCCUUCUAAGUCGAACGUGAAAUCCCCGGGCUCAACCCGGGAACUGCGUCCGAUACUGGGAGGCUUGAAUCCGGGAGAGGGAUGUGGAAUUCCAGGUGUAGCGGUGAAAUGCGUAGAUAUCUGGAGGAACACCGGUGGCGAAGGCGGCAUCCUGGACCGAGAUUGACGCUGAGGCGCGAAAGCUAGGGGAGCAAACGGG
Molecule: ribosomal RNA, 253 nt
Filed under: uncultured bacterium
Lineage: Bacteria
Description: partial 16S ribosomal RNA
Rfam family: Bacterial small subunit ribosomal RNA
Source: RNAcentral